RNAcentral lists this ribosomal RNA (403 nucleotides) under uncultured organism. RNAcentral's name for it is "bacterial SSU rRNA". It matches the Rfam family "Bacterial small subunit ribosomal RNA", at positions 355 to 775 of the family's 1533-position model. The record is from RNAcentral.
UGGGGAAUAUUGGACAAUGGGCGAAAGCCUGAUCCAGCCAUGCCGCGUGAGUGAUGAAGGCCCUAGGGUUGUAAAGCUCUUUCACCGGGGAAGAUAAUGACGGUACCCGGAGAAGAAGCCCCGGCUAACUUCGUGCCAGCAGCCGCGGUAAUACGAAGGGGGCUAGCGUUGUUCGGAAUUACUGGGCGUAAAGCGCACGUAGGCGGAUCAGUCAGUUAGGGGUGAAAUCCCAGGGCUCAACCCUGGAACUGCCUUUAAUACUGCUGAUCUAGAGUUCGAGAGAGGUGAGUGGAAUUCCGAGUGUAGAGGUGAAAUUCGUAGAUAUUCGGAGGAACACCAGUGGCGAAGGCGGCUCACUGGCUCGAUACUGACGCUGAGGUGCGAAAGCGUGGGGAGCAAACAG